AGAUGUGGUAUCCAAGAGAAGACCAUAGUCAGGGAUUCAGGUCCAUCUGAGUUGCUGGCCUGCAUCUUCCCAGUUCCACAUACGCCAUAUGCAGACUAAAGCAGAGGAAGACACAUCACCCAGAGGUACCGAAAUGGAGACAGAUGGAGUCCCUUGGAUGUCGAGGUGCCUCCUACGGGGGUUGGAAAUCAUUGACCACGGGCCUUUGUUCCCUAAAUUCACCUAAGAGGAGUCUUUCACUCGAACGCCCCUGCAUGGCCGCUAAUCCCCGCCUGCCGCCGCUUCCCAAGGAAAGUCCAUUUGAUCUGAGUCUACGCCUGCAAAUUAUCAGGAUAAUUAUGAUCUUUUUUAAAAAAUGAAAGGAAAGAUAUAAAGAAACCUCCACCAAGAUCUUUAGCAUCCAGAGCAGGAAUUAGCAAACUCUUCCUGAAAAGGGGCAAAGAGUGAGUAUUUUCAUCUUUCUGGGCCUCACGUAAUGGAUUGCUCAGCUCCAUGCUGUGGAAUGAAAGCAGACAAGGACAUCACUUAGUAAGUGAUAGUGACAGCUGGGUUCCAAUAGAACUCUCUUUAUGGACACCGAAACCUGAAUGUAUGUAACUUGCACGUGUCAUAAAAACAAUACUCUUUC
Molecule: long non-coding RNA, 628 nt
Organism: Myotis brandtii (Brandt's bat)
Lineage: Eukaryota; Metazoa; Chordata; Mammalia; Chiroptera; Vespertilionidae
Exons: 3
Source: RefSeq, a predicted model, not a curated record